RNAcentral lists this ribosomal RNA (253 nucleotides) under uncultured bacterium. RNAcentral's name for it is "partial 16S ribosomal RNA". It matches the Rfam family "Bacterial small subunit ribosomal RNA", at positions 524 to 776 of the family's 1533-position model. The record is from RNAcentral.
GACGAACCGUGCGAACGUUGUUCGGAUUCACUGGGCUUAAAGGGCGCGUAGGCGGGUCGGCAAGUCGGGGGUGAAAUCCCACGGCCCAACCGUGGAAGAGCUUUCGAUACUGCCGGUCUGGAGGGAGGUAGGGGCGUGUGGAACUUCCGGUGGAGCGGUGAAAUGCGUAGAUAUCGGAAGGAACGCCGGUGGCGAAAGCGACGCGCUGGACCUCUUCUGACGCUCAGGCACGAAAGCGUGGGGAGCAAACAGG